UUAUGCCUACGGGGGGCAGCAGUGGGGGAUAUUGCACAGUGGGGGAAACCCUGAUGCAGCGACGCCGCGUGGGUGAAGAAGCGCCUCGGCGCGUAAAGCCCUGUCAGCAGGGAAGAAAAUGACGGUACCUGAAGAAGAAGCCCCGGCUAACUACGUGCCAGCAGCCGCGGUAAUACGUAGGGGGCAAGCGUUAUCCGGAUUUACUGGGUGUAAAGGGCGUGCAGCCGGGAAGACAAGUCAGAUGUGAAAUCCCGCGGCUCAACCGCGGAACUGCAUUUGAAACUGUUUUUCUUGAGUACCGGAGA
RNAcentral lists this ribosomal RNA (305 nucleotides) under uncultured bacterium. Its description in RNAcentral is "bacterial SSU rRNA". It matches the Rfam family "Bacterial small subunit ribosomal RNA", at positions 333 to 655 of the family's 1533-position model. The record is from RNAcentral.